This 471-nucleotide ribosomal RNA is filed under the name uncultured bacterium. RNAcentral describes it as "partial 16S ribosomal RNA". It matches the Rfam family "Bacterial small subunit ribosomal RNA", at positions 28 to 507 of the family's 1533-position model. The record is from RNAcentral.
GACGAACGCUGGCGGCGUGCUUAACACAUGCAAGUCGAACGAUGAAGCCUAGCUUGCUAGGUGGAUUAGUGGCGAACGGGUGAGUAAUACGUGAGUAACCUACCUUUAACUCUGGGAUAAGCCCGGGAAACUGGGUCUAAUACCGGAUACGACCAAUCUCCGCAUGGGGUGUUGGUGGAAAGCGUUAUGUAGUGGUUAUAGAUGGGCUCACGGCCUAUCAGCUUGUUGGUGAGGUAACGGCUCACCAAGGCGACGACGGGUAGCCGGCCUGAGAGGGUGACCGGCCACACUGGGACUGAGACACGGCCCAGACUCCUACGGGAGGCAGCAGUGGGGAAUAUUGCACAAUGGGCGCAAGCCUGAUGCAGCGACGCCGCGUGAGGGAUGACGGCCUUCGGGUUGUAAACCUCUGUUAGCAGGGAAGAGGAGAGAUUGACGGUACCUGCAGAGAAAGCGCCGGCUAACUACGUG